GACGAACGCUGGCGGCGUGCUUAACACAUGCAAGUCGAACGGUUGAGAAGUGAGAGGUGAGAGGUUAGAAGUGAGAUUAAGAAUCUCACAUCUCACUUCCCACAUCUCACUUCUCAAUAGUGGCGGACGGGUGAGUAACGCGUGGAUAACCUACCUAACUGACCGGGACAACGCUAGGAAACCGGCGCUAAUACCGGAUACGCUUGACAGGGCACAAGCCCAGUUAAGGAAAGGAGCAAUCCGCAGGUAGAUGGGUCCGCGUCCCAUUAGCUAGUUGGAGGUGUAAUAGACCCCAAGGCGACGAUGGGUAGCCGGCCUGAGAGGGUGUACGGCCACACUGGGACUGAGAUACGGCCCAGACUCCUACGGGAGGCAGCAGCUAAGAAUAUUCCGCAAUGGACGGAAGUCUGACGGAGCGACGCCGCGUGGAUGAAGAAGGCCGAAAGGUUGUAAAGUUCUUUUGCUAGGGGAGAAUAAGUGUGGGAGGGAAUGCCUGCACGAU
RNAcentral lists this ribosomal RNA (502 nucleotides) under uncultured bacterium. RNAcentral's name for it is "bacterial SSU rRNA". It matches the Rfam family "Bacterial small subunit ribosomal RNA", at positions 28 to 476 of the family's 1533-position model. The record is from RNAcentral.